GGGUUGUGAGGUUAAGCGACUAAGCGUACACGGUGGAUGCCCUGGCAGUCAGAGGCGAUGAAGGACGUGCUAAUCUGCGAUAAGCGUCGGUAAGGUGAUAUGAACCGUUAUAACCGGCGAUUUCCGAAUGGGGAAACCCAGUGUGAUUCGUCACACUAUCAUUAACUGAAUCCAUAGGUUAAUGAGGCGAACCGGGGGAACUGAAACAUCUAAGUACCCCGAGGAAAAGAAAUCAACCGAGAUUCCCCCAGUAGCGGCGAGCGAACGGGGAGCAGCCCAGAGCCUGAAUCAGUGUGUGUGUUAGUGGAAGCGUCUGGAAAGGCGCGCGAUACAGGGUGACAGCCCCGUACACAAAAAUGCACAUGCUGUGAGCUCGAUGAGUAGGGCGGGACACGUGGUAUCCUGUCUGAAUAUGGGGGGACCAUCCUCCAAGGCUAAAUACUCCUGACUGACCGAUAGUGAACCAGUACCGUGAGGGAAAGGCGAAAAGAACCCCGGCGAGGGGAGUGAAAAAGAACCUGAAACCGUGUACGUACAAGCAGUGGGAGCCUCUUUAUGGGGUGACUGCGUACCUUUUGUAUAAUGGGUCAGCGACUUAUAUUCUGUAGCAAGGUUAACCGAAUAGGGGAGCCGAAGGGAAACCGAGUCUUAACUGGGCGUUAAGUUGCAGGGUAUAGACCCGAAACCCGGUGAUCUAGCCAUGGGCAGGUUGAAGGUUGGGUAACACUAACUGGAGGACCGAACCGACUAAUGUUGAAAAAUUAGCGGAUGACUUGUGGCUGGGGGUGAAAGGCCAAUCAAACCGGGAGAUAGCUGGUUCUCCCCGAAAGCUAUUUAGGUAGCGCCUCGUGAAUUCAUCUCCGGGGGUAGAGCACUGUUUCGGCAAGGGGGUCAUCCCGACUUACCAACCCGAUGCAAACUGCGAAUACCGGAGAAUGUUAUCACGGGAGACACACGGCGGGUGCUAACGUCCGUCGUGAAGAGGGAAACAACCCAGACCGCCAGCUAAGGUCCCAAAGUCAUGGUUAAGUGGGAAACGAUGUGGGAAGGCCCAGACAGCCAGGAUGUUGGCUUAGAAGCAGCCAUCAUUUAAAGAAAGCGUAAUAGCUCACUGGUCGAGUCGGCCUGCGCGGAAGAUGUAACGGGGCUAAACCAUGCACCGAAGCUGCGGCAGCGACACUAUGUGUUGUUGGGUAGGGGAGCGUUCUGUAAGCCUGCGAAGGUGUACUGUGAGGUAUGCUGGAGGUAUCAGAAGUGCGAAUGCUGACAUAAGUAACGAUAAAGCGGGUGAAAAGCCCGCUCGCCGGAAGACCAAGGGUUCCUGUCCAACGUUAAUCGGGGCAGGGUGAGUCGACCCCUAAGGCGAGGCCGAAAGGCGUAGUCGAUGGGAAACAGGUUAAUAUUCCUGUACUUGGUGUUACUGCGAAGGGGGGACGGAGAAGGCUAUGUUGGCCGGGCGACGGUUGUCCCGGUUUAAGCGUGUAGGCUGGUUUUCCAGGCAAAUCCGGAAAAUCAAGGCUGAGGCGUGAUGACGAGGCACUACGGUGCUGAAGCAACAAAUGCCCUGCUUCCAGGAAAAGCCUCUAAGCAUCAGGUAACAUCAAAUCGUACCCCAAACCGACACAGGUGGUCAGGUAGAGAAUACCAAGGCGCUUGAGAGAACUCGGGUGAAGGAACUAGGCAAAAUGGUGCCGUAACUUCGGGAGAAGGCACGCUGAUAUGUAGGUGAAGCGACUUGCUCGUGGAGCUGAAAUCAGUCGAAGAUACCAGCUGGCUGCAACUGUUUAUUAAAAACACAGCACUGUGCAAACACGAAAGUGGACGUAUACGGUGUGACGCCUGCCCGGUGCCGGAAGGUUAAUUGAUGGGGUUAGCGGUAACGCGAAGCUCUUGAUCGAAGCCCCGGUAAACGGCGGCCGUAACUAUAACGGUCCUAAGGUAGCGAAAUUCCUUGUCGGGUAAGUUCCGACCUGCACGAAUGGCGUAAUGAUGGCCAGGCUGUCUCCACCCGAGACUCAGUGAAAUUGAACUCGCUGUGAAGAUGCAGUGUACCCGCGGCAAGACGGAAAGACCCCGUGAACCUUUACUAUAGCUUGACACUGAACAUUGAGCCUUGAUGUGUAGGAUAGGUGGGAGGCUUUGAAGUGUGGACGCCAGUCUGCAUGGAGCCGACCUUGAAAUACCACCCUUUAAUGUUUGAUGUUCUAACGUUGGCCCCUGAUCGGGGUUGCGGACAGUGUCUGGUGGGUAGUUUGACUGGGGCGGUCUCCUCCUAAAGAGUAACGGAGGAGCACGAAGGUUGGCUAAUCCUGGUCGGACAUCAGGAGGUUAGUGCAAUGGCAUAAGCCAGCUUGACUGCGAGCGUGACGGCGCGAGCAGGUGCGAAAGCAGGUCAUAGUGAUCCGGUGGUUCUGAAUGGAAGGGCCAUCGCUCAACGGAUAAAAGGUACUCCGGGGAUAACAGGCUGAUACCGCCCAAGAGUUCAUAUCGACGGCGGUGUUUGGCACCUCGAUGUCGGCUCAUCACAUCCUGGGGCUGAAGUAGGUCCCAAGGGUAUGGCUGUUCGCCAUUUAAAGUGGUACGCGAGCUGGGUUUAGAACGUCGUGAGACAGUUCGGUCCCUAUCUGCCGUGGGCGCUGGAGAACUGAGGGGGGCUGCUCCUAGUACGAGAGGACCGGAGUGGACGCAUCACUGGUGUUCGGGUUGUCAUGCCAAUGGCACUGCCCGGUAGCUAAAUGCGGAAGAGAUAAGUGCUGAAAGCAUCUAAGCACGAAACUUGCCCCGAGAUGAGUUCUCCCUGACUCCUUGAGAGUCCUGAAGGAACGUUGAAGACGACGACGUUGAUAGGCCGGGUGUGUAAGCGCAGCGAUGCGUUGAGCUAACCGGUACUAAUGAACCGUGAGGCUUAACCUUACAACGCCGAAG
This 2925-nucleotide ribosomal RNA is filed under the name Escherichia coli. RNAcentral describes it as "bacterial LSU rRNA". It matches the Rfam family "Bacterial large subunit ribosomal RNA". The record is from RNAcentral. Lineage: Bacteria; Pseudomonadati; Pseudomonadota; Gammaproteobacteria; Enterobacterales; Enterobacteriaceae.